Vanessa tameamea is the source of this 2051-nucleotide long non-coding RNA. RefSeq lists it as uncharacterized. The transcript is spliced from 2 exons. The record is from RefSeq and is a predicted model, not a curated record. NCBI's taxonomy places the organism in Eukaryota, Metazoa, Arthropoda, Insecta, Lepidoptera, Nymphalidae.
UUAACUCUACAUCGUUUCGAGAUUGUAUACAAUAGAAUCUGUACUAUUGUAAUAAUUAAUCUAACAAAAUACUCAAAUAAUUAUUUAUCAACAUUUAAUAUAUUAUCUUCUAGUAAUAUAUGUUUGUAUAUAUAAUAAAUAUUUCUAUUUUUUUUUUCUUAGCGUAUCAAAAAAAGAGGCAUCACAAUUCGAAUUCGUGCCCAACAUAAGUCAAAUUAAAAAAAAUGUCUUUGUUGUAGCUAAUUUGCCACUAAUUAUAAAGAGAAAAUUAUUAAUAUUUUAUAAUUAAAUUUAGAAGUUAUUUAUUAAUGGUUACCAAUUUCAAUGUAUAAUAACACUUACGAAAACAAAAUGAUGUUAUUCUAAAACGUUUUGUCUUAUUAACUUGGACAUGGAGAAGAAUUAAUGGAAUUAAUGUUCUUUAUUCGCACACACUUUGAUUGUACAGCUGGACAGCAGUAUUUAGAUUUGGAAACAAAUACUAGAGAGAAAAUUGCUUAAUAAUAAAUAUUAUUAAGUAAUUUUGUCUUUUUCUACAAUUCGUAGCUUAGCUUAUAUUUAAGUAGCGACAUACGAUUCUAUGAAGUCUUGACUGUUUAUUUUUAUUAUCUUUUUCUAUGUUUCCAUUAUAUUGUGAUCCUGUGCUGUAUUUAACGUAUCCUCUACUAACAUUAUUUUUUGUGUACUUUUAGUUGGAAGUUUGUGAUCGUGUAUAUGACCGAAAUAACCUACUAGUUUUUUUUUUUUUAUUAAGACGUAACAUGGGCGUUGUUGGAAAGGGACAAAAAACAGUAUCCACUUUUAAAAUGAGCAAUGUAUCUUUACAGUGCAUGUGCAUUUUUUUUUAAUUAAUGCGACCACGAUAUAUAUCAAUGUGAUUGAUCUAAACUGAAUCAUUAAACCUCAACAUGGAUUGCGAACUCUUCAGACACCUCACAAAACAAAUAUCAAUUAAAAAAUACGAAAACAACGAUCCUCGUAGGUACACAAACCCGUGACCAUUGUUCUACCGACUUGACCAUCUCGGUCUCAUGUCUGUAUAUAAAGAUGAUGAGUAGCUUGACUUAAAGUAAUGAGUGAAAUUAACAUAACGUACAAAUCAAUAACAUUAAAGCAAUGUUAGCCUUUAUUCGUGGUUAAUUAGAUAUUAGUCAUCUUCAAUUAGUAUGUUUUUUAUCGUAUUUACAUAAUAAAUGCCCCAUAUCUAACACGAACCUUAUCAAAAUCGAAUAUAUAUAUUUUUUAUUAUAUAAUUGACUAGAUGGUGGAACAUUAUGCAAGCACUUCUAGUAUAACCCAUCGACCGAAAAACAUCAAUGUUAUGUAUUAUUGUAUUUCGGCUUCAGAGAGUUAUAACAGGCGAAAAAUGUGUUCCCCUGGUUAGCAGCUUGUUGACUACGUAAGGUAUAGUUAAUACUCUUAUAUCAAUGUCUUUUACACCACAAACACUACUAGGAACUAUUUCUUUAAUACUAAAAAUAACAUAUAUUUAUAUUAAAAAUAGUGUGCCGUAGUUCAGUUUUAUACACAUGUUGACAGUUUUUUUGUAUAUAAUAAUAAUAUCUUGAAGUACUAUUCUGUGAGAAAUCAAAUCGUAUCUCACUCGUAAAAUGUUGGUAAUCAACGGUGAUACGCUAUUUUGACGUGUGUAUCCUGGUGAAGUUAUCUGUGCUAUCCAUAUUUAUAAUAAUAUUAAAAAGAGAUAAAAUUUGUUUAUUUGUAUCUAGGGACUAAAUCGUCGGAACUAAUGAUUCCAUUUUUAAAUUUCGUCUCGCUACUAAUUAUAGAAAACGUCGCAUAUCACUUCCGGACAUUUCAAGCUCAUAUUUGUUUGUGUGAGUUUCAGUCUGUUCUUACAGAAUAGUUCGACUGUUCUGUUAUAUGCCUUAAUAAAGUACCUAAUACUAGAAUAUAUUUUUAUUCUUAAUUUUGACAUAGCGAAAUUGUUAAUGAAUGUAACCUUAUGAUAAACAAAUGCGUGAUGAUUUGUUGUAUGAAAAUAAUUAAUGUUAUUUAUUGAUAUAAGGAAAUAAAUAUUUUUGUACCGCUCG